UAGGGAAUCUUCGGCAAUGGACGAAAGUCUGACCGAGCAACGCAGCGUGAGUGAAGAAGGUUUUCGGAACGUAAAACUCUGUUGUUAGAGAAGAACAAGGACGUUAGUAACUGAACGUCCCCUGACGGUAUCUAACCAGAAAGCCACGGCUAACUACGUGCCAGCAGCCGCGGUAAUACGUAGGUGGCAAGCGUUGUCCGGAUUUAUUGGGCGUAAAGCGAGCGCAGGCGGGUUCUUAAGUCUGAUGUGAAAGCCCCCGGCUCAACCGGGGAGGGUCAUUGGAAACUGUGAUACUUGAGUGCAGAAGAGGAGAGUGGAAUUCCAUGUGUAGCGGUGAAAUGCGUAGAUAUAUGUAGGAACACCAGUGGCGAAGGCGGCUCUCUGGUCUGUAACUGACGCUGAGGCUCGAAAGCGUGGGGAGCAAACAGG
RNAcentral lists this ribosomal RNA (429 nucleotides) under Gemmatimonadota bacterium. RNAcentral's name for it is "Gemmatimonadetes bacterium partial 16S ribosomal RNA". It matches the Rfam family "Bacterial small subunit ribosomal RNA", at positions 355 to 776 of the family's 1533-position model. Lineage: Bacteria; Pseudomonadati; Gemmatimonadota. The record is from RNAcentral.